RNAcentral lists this ribosomal RNA (587 nucleotides) under Bacillus sp. SK6. RNAcentral's name for it is "bacterial SSU rRNA". It matches the Rfam family "Bacterial small subunit ribosomal RNA", at positions 336 to 916 of the family's 1533-position model. Lineage: Bacteria; Bacillati; Bacillota; Bacilli; Caryophanales; Bacillaceae. The record is from RNAcentral.
CUCCUACGGGAGGCAGCAGUAGGAAUCUUCCGCAAUGGACGAAAGUCUGACGGAGCAACGCCGCGUGAACGAUGAAGGCCUUCGGGUCGUAAAGUUCUGUUGUUAGGGAAGAACAAGUACCAGAGUAACUGCUGGUACCUUGACGGUACCUAACCAGAAAGCCACGGCUAACUACGUGCCAGCAGCCGCGGUAAUACGUAGGUGGCAAGCGUUGUCCGGAAUUAUUGGGCGUAAAGCGCGCGCAGGUGGUUUCUUAAGUCUGAUGUGAAAGCCCACGGCUCAACCGUGGAGGGUCAUUGGAAACUGGGGAACUUGAGUGCAGAAGAGGAAAGUGGAAUUCCAAGUGUAGCGGUGAAAUGCGUAGAGAUUUGGAGGAACACCAGUGGCGAAGGCGACUUUCUGGUCUGUAACUGACACUGAGGCGCGAAAGCGUGGGGAGCGAACAGGAUUAGAUACCCUGGUAGUCCACGCCGUAAACGAUGAGUGCUAAGUGUUAGAGGGUUUCCGCCCUUUAGUGCUGCAGCAAACGCAUUAAGCACUCCGCCUGGGGAGUACGGUCGCAAACUGAAACUCAAAGGAAUUGACGG